UUGGAGGAGAAAAAAUCAUUAUUGAAAGCGCCGUCCUUUUCGGUGCUCUGCCAACAAUGGUCAAGGUUCGCAAAUUCCUCAGGAGGGAUCCUUCCUUUCUUGGUGAAUUUUCAUUUGGAUGGCAUUCCUGUGCAUGCUUGGGAGGCUGCCACGGUGGAACGACUGCUCAAAACCUUUGCUUCGGUGUUCUGCGUUCAGUCGGACCUGGAUGACCUCACCUCUUUUCGAUGUUCUGCAUGGUGUGUUGAUCCCGCAUUGAUUCCGGAUUCAAGGGAGUUAUGGAUUACAGAACCCCUGCAGUCGCCAGAGAAUGCUGGUCAAGGGUUCAGAACUCUAAUUUAUCAAGUCAGAAUUCAUUGGUCCUUCCCUUCGUCAUCUGCUGAGCAUGGGCCCCCUCCAUCACUGGGCGAUUCGGGCGCCAGAGAUAGGGCUCGCCGGAGUCCCAGAUCACGUUCUCCUCCGGGAAAUGGCAGAGGGCAGAGUAGCCGACCUCGACGUUCAGUCAUGGAGAGGUUAGGCCCACAAAUUAAUGAUGGUCAAAGUAAUCUUGAAGGGCGGCGUUCCAGUGCUAGCAACAAGCGCUGCUCGGGCAUCGAGACAUUUCCUUUGGGUGCUUCGGCUCUGGUGCCUUUGGCUACAGACUUGGGUGAUAUUGAUGAAGGCAUUUCGAACUUGGUUAGCCGUGCGGGCCUCGAGGCGUCUUUUGUGACUGCCUUGGCUCCGGUGCCACUGGUUCCAUUAAUGGCAAGAGCAGACAAGGAGGGAGAACAUCUAGUCUAUGAUCAUCGUGCGGGCCUCGAGACCCCUUCCUUGGGUGUCUCGGCUCCGGUGUACAUGGCUGCAACGUCACCAAUUGAUGGAGCUACUGCGGCAGAAACUCUGAACUGCGAUCACCGUGCGGGCCUCGAGGCCCCUUCCUUGGGUGUUUCGGCUCUAGGGCGCUCUCAUGGGAUGUUGGAUCCCAUUUCUGUCAGAGGGGGGGCGUUGUCGGUUGCUGGGACUGUUUCCCCGCGGGCUCUGCUUGUCUAUUCUAGAAGACGCCCCAUUCUCGCAGAUGUUGGGGCGGACUCUGUUUCUGGGACAGCAGACCGGGUGGAUGAUCUCGAGCUUAGUUCUCCGACGGGAAGGCAAGAGCUACUAGAGGGACAAGCGGGGGAUGAUUGCUCCGCUGACUGUAUUUCGGCAUCGGUUUUGGAUACCACGACAUCGGAUGUUGACCAUUCGCUGGUGCAGGAUUUUUUGGCCACCAUCACUAAGCCAGUUGACUGCAUCUUGGCCAGACCAGCUACCCAAAAGCGGCGACGUAAGCAGACGCCAAAAGACUUUAUACCUAGAAGAAGUAAUAGACUGAAGAAGGAUGGUAGGGGGGCGCCUUCCACAGCUGUCAGAAAAAUCAGAGUGGAUAUUGCUAGAACUUUGGGGAUAUUGGCUGACCAGGAGGGAUUGGCACAAGAAGCUCUUGAUGAAUAUGGGCGGCUGUUUUCUAAGCCUCUAUCUCAGGACCAUGUCGCUGCCUUAGCUGCAUUGUUCGGUUGGGCAAUUCCGGAGAAUGCCGAUGCUGCAGAUUCAUUGUUGGGACAGAGUCCCAUUAUUGUGUAG
RNAcentral lists this unclassified non-coding RNA (1599 nucleotides) under Zea mays. Its description in RNAcentral is "misc RNA Zm00001eb181470". Lineage: Eukaryota; Viridiplantae; Streptophyta; Magnoliopsida; Poales; Poaceae. The record is from RNAcentral.